UACGUAGGGUGCGAGCGUUAAUCGGAAUUACUGGGCGUAAAGCGUGCGCAGGCGGUUCGUUGUGUCGGUGGUGAAAUCCCCGGGCUCAACCUGGGAAUGGCGUUUGGGACUGGAAGUCUGGAGUGCGGCAGAGGAGACUGGAAUUCCUGGUGUAGCAGUGAAAUGCGUAGAUAUCAGGAGGAACACCGAUGGCGAAGGCAGGUCUCUGGGCUGACACUGACGCUCAUGCACGAAAGCGUGGGGAGCAAACAGG
This 253-nucleotide ribosomal RNA is filed under the name uncultured bacterium. Its description in RNAcentral is "partial 16S ribosomal RNA". It matches the Rfam family "Bacterial small subunit ribosomal RNA", at positions 524 to 776 of the family's 1533-position model. The record is from RNAcentral.